This 253-nucleotide ribosomal RNA is filed under the name uncultured bacterium. RNAcentral's name for it is "partial 16S ribosomal RNA". It matches the Rfam family "Bacterial small subunit ribosomal RNA", at positions 524 to 776 of the family's 1533-position model. The record is from RNAcentral.
UACGUAGGGGGCGAGCGUUGUCCGGAUUUAUUGGGCGUAAAGCGCGCGCAGGCGGUUCGUUAAGUCCGAUGUGAAAGCUCCCGGCUCAACUGGGAGAGGUCUUCGGAUACUGGCGAACUCGAGGGAGGCAGAGGAAGGUGGAAUUCCGGGUGUAGUGGUGAAAUGCGUAGAGAUCCGGAGGAACACCAGUGGCGAAGGCGGCCUUCUGGGCCUUUCCUGACGCUGAGGCGCGAAGGCGUGGGGAGCGAACCGG